This is a long non-coding RNA of Mercenaria mercenaria, 1984 nucleotides long. RefSeq lists it as uncharacterized. The record is from RefSeq and is a predicted model, not a curated record. Lineage: Eukaryota; Metazoa; Mollusca; Bivalvia; Venerida; Veneridae. The transcript is spliced from 2 exons.
UGUUUUAGAUGAGUGGCACGAAGGGAACAAAUCUGUUAGAAAUGAGGAAGUUCUCCUUUCUCGGUGUCGAGUACCCGUUUGAGUCAUUUAAUCUUAUAAAAUGUCGAUCUAUUUUUGCACCAAGCACCGCAACAUAUUUUAAUUGUUCGCUCCCUUGGCGUUAAGUCUUUAAUAAGAGUUGUUUGAAACAUUUUAAUCGACAUUUUGUCUACUUUUAUUAAGCAGACUGGCAUCCGUGUAAAAUCUGAAUUUGGAAUAUUUUAUUCACAUCUGUUGGGAAAUUAUGUUUACAACUAAUAUUUUAACACAAUUUAUACAGAAAUAUUUUAGAAAUUGUUUUCAAUGCACGUUUCCAUUAUAACCACGUUUUGGCGAUGUAUGACCUUUUUAUGUCGAUUUGACGUAAAAUCACUCAAUCCCAAAGAUCAACAGUUCUUUUUUUUUCCUGUCCGGUGUGUAACUCAACCUUCCAGCAAGAGAUUUUUAUAUUACCUGGCACGAAUGUUAGUCAUAAUAAGUCAAUGUGUCAUACACAAUUCCAGACCUCUACCUGAAAUGUUAAGGCCGCACUUUGAGAUCAGAGGUAAACAUGGUAUUAACAGUGUCUGUUUUAUGUCCUAGAAAUCUAGAUAAAAUGAAACAAAGUUAACUUCCUGUUUAAAGUGAGUUCCUUUUCCUGUUUAUAUGCUGAUUUCGUAAAUUUUAUCAAUGAAUAUCUAAAGUACUUAUCAUCUUGUUGACAACUGUCCUACAGAAGUCGACUUGCCUUGCAAGAAUUUUAUUGAGAGGGGAUAGCGAAGCAAUACCAAUGCAACAUUAGUCAGAAAAAAGAGGGUUUUAAAUUUCUUAUCAUCCGAAAAAAACUGAACGACGAUAAAUAUCUGGUGAGGAUAAUGUCUUUCUCACGAAGGAUUUCGGUUGUUAUUAUCGCAACUAUACUUAUAUGGAAGGUCACACAGGUAGAGAACCAGCUAUGUCGGGUUAAAGGUCGCGGCUGCAGGGACACCGGAUUGAAUCGUUGGGGCAGAGGACGGUGUGCUAGGCUUGGCGACAUAUUAGAUACGAUUAUGAGAUGUCAACGGUAUGGUUUACGUUGCCGAUGCAACAUAAUUGGAAAUAAACCGGGAAAUAUUGGAACUGAUUUUGACGGGUCAUACUAUGACAAUAAUUUGUAUUCUGAAAUAUAUUAAACCGUUCUACAAUAAUCAAAAUGGCUACAAUAUUUCAUUGGUUUAAAAUUCAUUUUAAAACAUUCUGGUACACGUAAGACUUAUAGUGACAAAAUGGAAGGAUAUUUGUUGAAGAAUGCACAAUUAUUCUGUGUUUGUUUAACAAAAUUUGAGACUUUGGGAAUAUGUUAUUUAAUAUUUGAGUAAAAGAAACAAUUGGUGUUUGUUAAAAUCAUCUUAUUACAGUACUAAAAGAUGUAUCAUUUGUUGAUAUAUGAGCCGUGCCAUGGGAAAACCAACAUAGUGGCUUUGCGACCAACAUGGAUCCAGACCAGCUUGCGCAUCCGCGCAGUCUGGUCAGGAUCCAUGCUGUUCGCUUUCAAAGCCUAUUGUAAUUAGAGAAACUGUUAGCGAACAGUAUGGAUCCUGAUCAGACUGCGCGGAUGCGCAGGCUGGUCUGGAUCCAUGCUGGUCGCAAAGCCACUAUGUUGGUUUUCCCAUGGCACGGCUCAAAUAUUAUUUCGAAACUACCUUUAGCCUAAAAAAACAACGUACAUAUUCAUAGUCAUACCGAACGGAACAGACGAGAACCUCAAUUGGUUCCAAAAACCAAUGUGGGACUGGGCUGAUUCGAUCUUUAAUUUCGGUCCUUUAUGUUAUUUCUUUCCUUUCUACAAAGAGAUGUGUCUAUGAUUUGUGUGUGCAUAUUAAUUAUGUAUACAUUUAUACAUGAACUGUUGUAUGGUUUGCCUUAAUAAUGUGACGACAAUGACGCCAUAUCAGGGUCAUGGCGGUGAGAUUAAAAAUAGACCGUC